Molecule: ribosomal RNA, 1536 nt
Filed under: Bacteroides fragilis
Lineage: Bacteria; Pseudomonadati; Bacteroidota; Bacteroidia; Bacteroidales; Bacteroidaceae
Also listed under: 1 other name
Description: bacterial SSU rRNA
Rfam family: Bacterial small subunit ribosomal RNA
Source: RNAcentral
CUUUUACAAUGAAGAGUUUGAUCCUGGCUCAGGAUGAACGCUAGCUACAGGCUUAACACAUGCAAGUCGAGGGGCAUCAGGAAGAAAGCUUGCUUUCUUUGCUGGCGACCGGCGCACGGGUGAGUAACACGUAUCCAACCUGCCCUUUACUCGGGGAUAGCCUUUCGAAAGAAAGAUUAAUACCCGAUGGCAUAAUGAUUCCGCAUGGUUUCAUUAUUAAAGGAUUCCGGUAAAGGAUGGGGAUGCGUUCCAUUAGGUUGUUGGUGAGGUAACGGCUCACCAAGCCUUCGAUGGAUAGGGGUUCUGAGAGGAAGGUCCCCCACAUUGGAACUGAGACACGGUCCAAACUCCUACGGGAGGCAGCAGUGAGGAAUAUUGGUCAAUGGGCGGUAGCCUGAACCAGCCAAGUAGCGUGAAGGAUGAAGGCUCUAUGGGUCGUAAACUUCUUUUAUAUAAGAAUAAAGUGCAGUAUGUAUACUGUUUUGUAUGUAUUAUAUGAAUAAGGAUCGGCUAACUCCGUGCCAGCAGCCGCGGUAAUACGGAGGAUCCGAGCGUUAUCCGGAUUUAUUGGGUUUAAAGGGAGCGUAGGUGGACUGGUAAGUCAGUUGUGAAAGUUUGCGGCUCAACCGUAAAAUUGCAGUUGAUACUGUCAGUCUUGAGUACAGUAGAGGUGGGCGGAAUUCGUGGUGUAGCGGUGAAAUGCUUAGAUAUCACGAAGAACUCCGAUUGCGAAGGCAGCUCACUGGACUGCAACUGACACUGAUGCUCGAAAGUGUGGGUAUCAAACAGGAUUAGAUACCCUGGUAGUCCACACAGUAAACGAUGAAUACUCGCUGUUUGCGAUAUACAGUAAGCGGCCAAGCGAAAGCAUUAAGUAUUCCACCUGGGGAGUACGCCGGCAACGGUGAAACUCAAAGGAAUUGACGGGGGCCCGCACAAGCGGAGGAACAUGUGGUUUAAUUCGAUGAUACGCGAGGAACCUUACCCGGGCUUAAAUUGCAGUGGAAUGAUGUGGAAACAUGUCAGUGAGCAAUCACCGCUGUGAAGGUGCUGCAUGGUUGUCGUCAGCUCGUGCCGUGAGGUGUCGGCUUAAGUGCCAUAACGAGCGCAACCCUUAUCUUCAGUUACUAACAGGUCAUGCUGAGGACUCUGGAGAGACUGCCGUCGUAAGAUGUGAGGAAGGUGGGGAUGACGUCAAAUCAGCACGGCCCUUACGUCCGGGGCUACACACGUGUUACAAUGGGGGGUACAGAAGGCAGCUAGCGGGUGACCGUAUGCUAAUCCCAAAAUCCUCUCUCAGUUCGGAUCGAAGUCUGCAACCCGACUUCGUGAAGCUGGAUUCGCUAGUAAUCGCGCAUCAGCCACGGCGCGGUGAAUACGUUCCCGGGCCUUGUACACACCGCCCGUCAAGCCAUGGGAGCCGGGGGUACCUGAAGUACGUAACCGCAAGGAUCGUCCUAGGGUAAAACUGGUGACUGGGGCUAAGUCGUAACAAGGUAGCCGUACCGGAAGGUGCGGCUGGAACACCUCCUUUCU